GGCCCUUUCUUCUAAUCCUGGCUUCUCAGUCCACAAGCCAACCUCCUCUCCUCUCCAUAAGCUACCUCUCUCUCUCUGUGCUCAAGAUCACAUCCCUCAGGUUCAUUAACUUGAUGAUGCUGUGGUGAUCAAACUGUGUGAUUUAAUGAAAUAUUGUGUUCAUUAGUGAUGAACUUUAGGUUUCCUAGUAAUGCCCCCUGGUUUGGGGCAAAUUCAAACAAUGAUUUGGAGACAGCCGUUAAAACAGCAGGCAUCCUAAGCAAAUCAACCAAGGAAAGGGCUUUUUUUGAUGUGAAGCUGUGGAGAUGGUCCCUCCUCUCAAUUGUUCCUUGGGCUAUCCAUGCCAGAGACAAAAUCUGGAAACUGUCUACUUUAAAUAAAGAGUUGAAGAAGCCCUCACGACGUUAUCGGACUGUUGAAUAUGGUAGCAGGCCCUCUCCUGUACGAUUUAGACCAUAUGUUGGCAAGGUCCCAUGGCAUACAGGUGCAAGAGCCUUCCUUUCUCAGCUAUUUCCACGAUAUGGGCAUUACUGUGGACCUAACUGGUCGAGUGGGAAGGAUGGGGGUUCCCUUCUUUGGGAUAAACGUCCAAUUGAUUGGUUAGACUUUUGCUGCUAUUGCCAUGACAUUGGUUAUGACACUCAUGAUCAGGCCAGCCUUCUGAAGGCUGACUUAGCGUUUCUGGAAUGCCUGGAGAGGCCUCAGAUGAGUACAAAGGGAGAUGCUCAUGUUGCUCAGCUUUAUAAGACAAUGUGCAUCACUGGUCUCAAGAAUGUACUAAUACCAUAUAGAAGACGCCUUGUAGAAUUGAAGUCAGAGCAAUCCAAUAUUUUGUUUGGUUGGCUAAGCAAUGUAAAAUGGAGAGGUUGGAACCCUCCUGGAGAAAGUUGAAAUCAUAGAUCAGUUCUGAGAAGUAACAAUGGAUAUGACACAGUUCCUCCAAUGGGGAAUUGCAGAAGAUGGAUUUUAACCGAACACUCAACUCUUGACAGAUUAUUGGUUGAAGACUUCUUGCUUGACUACAAAAUUAUAUAAAGGCAGUUCACUUUCAACCAUCUCGUUAUCAUAUGGUUCACAAUUCAUAACCUUAUAGCAGUCAAUUCAUGAGCUUUGUUGGGAUGAUCGUACACUUUAUUCAAGGAAGCAACUUGAAGAUAUUCUGCUUAUAUUUGAAUGCGGUCCCUUUCUGCCCUUUCUUCCCUUUCAGAUUCAUUUUUAGAUAUAUAGUUACUAUAAAGGACAACACCAUGUCCAUCUUCUUAUUCAGGCAAGUGUAAGACCCAAAGUUUUUAGACCUGCAACCUCAAAGCUUUCAAUUGAAUUAAGCUUGCAUGGGCCAAGACCAAGUUGGCUAUGAUUAGGGAUUUAAUCCUUAUUUUUCCUUUUUGUUUUUCUAAGAUGUAGAAUUCAUUUUACUGGGUAACUGUCUAAGGCACUUGAUUGACCAUACUUCAGUUCAUGUUUCAGAGAAAUGGCUGAUUCUGAAGCAGAGAUAGGCCCUGUAAUGUAAUUUUUGUUCAUAGUUGAAAGCGCUCUGUAUGCAAUUUUUGUUCA
Vitis riparia (riverbank grape) is the source of this 1554-nucleotide RNA transcript. RefSeq lists it as uncharacterized. NCBI's taxonomy places the organism in Eukaryota, Viridiplantae, Streptophyta, Magnoliopsida, Vitales, Vitaceae. The record is from RefSeq and is a predicted model, not a curated record. The transcript is spliced from 4 exons.